UCUCCGUAGGUGAACCUGCGGAAGGAUCAUUCAUAAUAAGUGUUUUAUGGAACUUUUUUAAAUCCAUAUCCACCUUGUGUGCAAUGUCAGGGUUGGUCUCUUUUGAUCAGCCCCAAACAGCAACUAUUAUCUCAACUCUUUGUCUGAAAAAUAUUAUGAAUAAAACAAUUCAAAAUACAACUUUCAACAACGGAUCUCUUGGCUCUC
Molecule: unclassified non-coding RNA, 207 nt
Filed under: plant metagenome
Description: partial contains small subunit ribosomal RNA, internal transcribed spacer 1, and 5.8S ribosomal RNA
Source: RNAcentral